UAAGCGGAGGAAAAGAAACUAACCAGGAUUCCCCUAGUAACGGCGAGUGAAGCGGGAAUAGCUCAAAUUUUAAAUCUGGCCGGCGUGGUCGGUCCGAGUUGUAAUUUGAAGAGUGGUUUUCACGUUUUCGUUCGGGUCUAAGUUCCUUGGAAUGGGACAUCAGAGAGGGUGAGAAUCCCGUCUUUGAUCCGAUCGGUAACGGUACGAUACCGCUUCUAAGAGUCGAGUUGUUUGGGAUUGCAGCUCAAAAUGGGUGGUAAAUUCCAUCUAAGGCUAAAUAUAGGCGAGAGACCGAUAGCGAACAAGUACCGUGAGGGAAAGAUGAAAAGAACUUUGAAAAGAGAGUUAAAUAGUACGUGAAAUUGUUGAUAGGGAAACGAUUGAAGUCAGUCAUGCCGGUGGAAAAUCAACUUAUGGACUACUAUGAGUGCACUUUUCGCAUGGCAGGUCAAUAUUAGUUUUGUUGGGUCAUAAUUAUUGUAGAAAGGUGACUCCUUCGGGAGUGUUAUAGACUACUUUAGAUGGCCUGACAUAGACUAAGGAUUGCAGCGAAUGCCUUUAGGCUACAGUUCUUUCUCUGUAAGUCGUUGAUUGGUUGUCAGCUUGCUGACUUCUAGUUAAUUGGCUGACAGUAAGGGAGAAACUGUUAAAUUCGCUAAGGAUGUUGACGUAAUGGCUUUAAACGACCCGUCUUGAAACACGGACCAAGGAGUCUAACAUAUAUGCGAGUGUU
RNAcentral lists this ribosomal RNA (733 nucleotides) under uncultured Archaeospora. Its description in RNAcentral is "LSU rRNA". It matches the Rfam family "Eukaryotic large subunit ribosomal RNA", at positions 47 to 694 of the family's 3401-position model. The record is from RNAcentral. Lineage: Eukaryota; Fungi; Glomeromycota; Glomeromycetes; Archaeosporales; Archaeosporaceae.